RNAcentral lists this long non-coding RNA (16655 nucleotides) under Citrus x clementina. RNAcentral's name for it is "Citrus clementina (C. clementina) long non-coding RNA (CCLE_LNC006463)". Lineage: Eukaryota; Viridiplantae; Streptophyta; Magnoliopsida; Sapindales; Rutaceae. The record is from RNAcentral.
UAACACCUCCCACAUACAGACACAGGAAAAAGAAUCUCUCUCAGCUUCCUUCGGUUACGCUCUCAAAAACCCUGAGAAAAAAAGGCUUCAAUAAUGGCAUUCUCAAAGGCUUCAAUGGCUACGCUGAUGAUGGCCGUUGUCCUGGCCGCCUUGGUUCUCGCAGGGUCGGCUCAAGAUCUCUCUCCCGCUCCAGCUCCCGCUUCCGGAGCCGGCUCGAUCUCGCCUUCCUUAGCCGCCGCUGGUGUCGCUCUCCUUUGCGCUCUGGUGUUCGGCUCAGUUCUCAGGGUUUAAGAGGCCGGUUCUCUAUCUGAUUACGUGUCACUAGCUUAUUGGGUGUGUAGAGUGGUUUCUUCAUUUUUUUUUUCUUUUUUUGCGUUGUUUAGACGUUAUGUGGGCUUAGUAGCGGCGGAUCCACUGGGUUUUUAGUCUUUUAGGGAGUGAGUCUUAUUACAUAUAAAUUUUAUAAUGAGAGAGAGUUAUCAGUUAUGCUUUGUAGCUCACGGAGAUGUGAUGAUAUGAUUUGAUUUAUGCUUGUUAUUUUGGAGACUUAUGAUUAUUAUCAGUAUAUAUUAAGCUAUUCCUUUUGUUGUUAUGUUAUAUAUCAUUCACUAUCCGCUUUUCUUUUAAUUUUUUAUGUAAAUCAAUUUAAUUUUAUUUCACUCGAAUCGCGUUCGCCGGACGACAGAAGAGGAAAUACAUUUCCCACAAGAAUCGAUGAUAAGUAAAAGUAAUGCACUUGUAAACAGUAAUUCGUAUCUUCCCUAAACAAAAAAGUCCCAAGUGGCAAGGCACAGCUGACACGUUUACUCCUUCGCUUCUGCACUCCCAUUCCCAUGUGCAAUUGUGCGAAAGGACAAUGAAUGAGAGAAUUGGAGGAGAAGGGGAAUCUGUGCCUUUAACAUGACCAACAGGAACAUUUUUUUUUUUUUUUUGGCCUUUUUUUAAUUAUUCCAAGUCCAAGUCAUCGGGUCUGUGGCACCUUCGUGAAACAGAAAACAACAGGGGGAUCAAAUGUGCAAUGAUUCAAUUUGUUGGUUUAUAGGGGUAUAUCAUUACACUUGGCGAUGCCUUGGAAGAAGUCGCCAGAAUGAUGAUUUUCGAAAAGUUUAUGUUGGACAAGGCAGUCUUUGCGAAAUUGACUCAUUCGGCCCAACCAUCCUUUUGUAAUCAAUGGCUAAGCGUGAUUUGCAACGUAUUAUUUGACCGGUGAGCUGAGGUUGUUCUCCCUUUUCAUUCGCCCCCACCCAACCCCCCACCUGGAGUUCCCCAACAUUUGCUUAGCUUGUACGAAUAUUAUAGUUGGUUUGUGGACCCUACCACGUAAUUGUUGAUUCCCGUUUGCUUUGCCCUACAUAAUUAUAUACUAAAUCAAUAAUUCUAGAAAUAUAAACUCUUUAACAAGCACUAAUUAUUCCAUUAAUACAGUUUGAGAUGACAUUUUAUAUUAGGCUAUUGAUAUGUUGGAGUUCACCUACGGUAAAAUAUGAAUUUUAAUUACACGUAAAAUGAUAAAUAAUAAAAAAAUAAUUCAUUUUUUAUUAUUCAUCACUUUGCUUGUAUGAUUGAGAUUCGCGCUCUACCGUAAGUGAACUCCAACAUAAUCAAACUCUUAUAUAUUAUUGUAUGACUGAAAUUCACACACCACUGUAAGUAAACUCCAACAUAAUCGAAACCCUUUAUAUUAUUGUUGCACGCUUUGUGCAAUUGAUUAUUUUUUAACUUAAAAAAUAAUUGAUGUAGGUCUCGUCGUAUUAAUUUGCACAAUAAAAUGUGCAGAAAUAAUUUAUAUUAGUACUCCAUAUUUGUCCAGUAGCCAAUGAGCUUAUUCAUGAACUUCAGCUCAACCAUCUUGUAAUGUGCGAAAAUAGCCUUGCUUUGUCUAUAAGCAAAGCUAGUGGCACAUUCGUCACUCCCACUUUAGACAGGUUAUACCAAGUUGGUAAAGUAGCUUUUAACUUGUUAACCAGCAAAAUGGACGUAGCCCACUACUGGGCCUAUAGCGUGACCAGCUCAGUCAACCAGCACCUAAAUAAAGCUGAAACAAAAGAAAAAUAUAAGCAAAACAAAAACAGGUGUUGAUGCCUGAUGCCUCUAUAAUAAUAAUAAUAAUAAAAUAACCGAGAGAGAGAAGAGAGAAGAGAGAAGAUAUGGCUAAAAUUUUAUCCUUUCAUUCAUCUCAGAGGGAGGGACGAAAGGUAACGAUUUACAGGGUAGCAACAUUUUGUCAUAUUCUCAACAAACAAAAAACAACAGCUAUCAACAGCUAUUCAUCUUCCUCUUCCUCUACUCUGAGUCUGAGUCCAUGUUACCCAUAGCCUUCAAUCCUCUCGGUCUCUGCAUCAGAUUAGAUCCCCGAUACAAACAUUAUGCUCCAUUAAUUUUUAAUGUAUAUGCUUCUCCAAUUGGGGAGUUGUAAUACAAAAAGUACCUUCUUGGAGAUUUUCUUCUCUCUAACUUCAUAACGUUCAAGGGUCAGGUCACAUAGCCAUGCACCAGGACUUACCAGCUGCAAAGAAAAACAUAAACUCAAUGCAACUUUGGCCUUUAAUUUCAGAUUUUGAUUUUGAUUGGGAUGCAAUAAAGAGAGAUUCCUGUGCUUUUUUAAAACAGUUAUGAUUUCAAUUAAUUUGUAAAAAAAAAUAAUUCCACCAUAAGCAAGAAGAUACUUGCAACCUCAAAAAGAAAAAAACUACUUGCAAAAAGAAUCGUCUACAGGUCGUGCGUUUAAGAAAGUUAUGGACGAAAAACUACGUGCAAUCUUUGCUCUCCACGCACUGUCAGUGUGGUCCAGCUUGGAGGACCACUACAAGAGUCACGAAACCACCUCCAUUGUUUAUUAUAAAUUAUUCUUAAAUAUUAUUUCAAUAAAGAGAAAAUUAAUCAUUAAAAACUAUUAGAGACAAGAAAAGUUAAUUCACCAAAAAGCAAUGUCCAUAUUACGGAAAUGCCCCACAAUAAUGGGCAAAGGGCCCAUCCGCUUCCGUCGGUUAAACUUUUACGAAGAAUAUUAUUACCUUUGGUGAGUAUUUGGACCUUACUUCGUUGAUAAGUUUUAGUGUUGUCUAUUGAAUCGCCAUCGUACACGUGUUGCAGAUUGAUCCCUCCAUCUCAAUCUGAGACACUCAUAAUGUUUAAAAGUUAAAACCAAGAGAAAAAUACAGUUUCCAGCUCUGUACUACCACGUCCUUGUUGACCCCACGUACCUCGUUUAAGGCAUUCUGUUAUCGGAUAAUUUUUAAAAACCUUCCUUAAGGUUUGGACUUGUUGUAAGUAGAUGGCAAAAAUUUAUUUAUUUAUAAAAAAUCUCCUACCGUCAGUUAAUUUUAACAUUGAUCGUUAGUUGACUGUGCAAAGACAAUAUUAUCCUUAACAAUACUUUAUAGACUGACAUAACUAAAAAAAAAACUAAAAUUAUUGACGCGAAAUACACAAACCCUAUUUUUUGACAAUGUUAUCCUUGUCAAUUUCAAAGAUUUAUAAUAUCAUAGGUAAAGAUUAUGACUAUUUCAUUUUCAAAUUUUUAAUUUUAUCUUUCUUGUAGGAACUUUAAGAAAAUAUCAAUAAUUUAAAGAGGAUUUUUCAAGUUUUUAAUUUUAUCUUUUUUGUAGGAACUUUAAAAAAAUAUCAAUAAUUUAAAGAGUGUAAAAUAACUAACAAUUUUAAUUUUUUUUUUUAGUUAUUUCCGUCUACAAACUAUUGUUAAGGGUAAUAUUGUAUUUGCACAGUCAACUAACGGUCAAUGUUAAAAUUAAUUGACGGUAGAAGAUUUUUUACAAAUAAACUAAUUCUCGCCAUCUACUUACAACAAGCCCAAACCUCAGGGGAAGUUUUUAAAAAUUACCCUCCUGUUACCCCCUCAUAUUCUUGUAAAAUGAUAAACCCACGAAUGAUUUUAUAAUUUAUACAAAUUAACGACGGAUAAAAAUUAGCUAAAAAUAAUAAUAAUAAUAAUAAUUAAUUUUUAAUUAUAUAAACCCAUAAUAAUUUUAUAUAACUAAUUCCGUCACGUCACUUCGAUUUAUAUACACUUACUUAUAGAAGGUAAUUAUAACUCUAUUAUUACUCAUUUCCACAUAUAAAACAUUUUCAACGCUUUCUUAAAAAAAAAAAAAAAGAACUCCCCGUAGCCCAAGAAAAGUAAAAUAAAUUCAAAAUUGCGGUAUUACCGUGAUAAUCUCUUACGGUAAAAUCUUGACUUAAGUAACUCUUAUUGGUCGUAAGAAUAUUUGAUUUUGAUAAAUUGGAACAUAAACAUAAAAAAAAUCAAAAACAGAAAAAACUUAAUGACAACUCAAUUGUCUCUUGUUAUUCAAUUAUCUCCCCCACGAAGUAAAGUAUGAAUUACUGCAUUACGGAAUGCCACAUUAUUUAGAAUAAUUUUUAAAAACAAAAGAUUUAAAAUAUGUACCAUUACUUUAAUGGAAUUUUCCGACUAAAUCAAGAGAAAUUUGAUUAUCAAAGCACAAAACUCGGGCAAGGGUAAUAUUCCCACCCCAGAUUUUUGUUAAUUUAUUCUACAUCCCGCACCCAAACCAGGACUCGGUCACUGGGAGGCUAACGUUACUACAGGUCAUUUUUAGGUACACGUCCACGCCUUUACCGACACGUGGACAUGUAUAUCUCACUGGUCACUUUACACACAGCCCUAUUUUUAAGCGAAAACAAAAAUUGAAGACUAAUAAAAAAAUAAUAAUAAAGUAGAUCAUAGUUUCACAUAAAUCAGGGUCCGACCCAGCAACCAUAUUUGUAGUAACAGCUACAUUCUUAAAAACCGUGUCCCAUCCCAAAAUAUCAUCAAAAGGCCGCAAGAGAUCUAUUGUACCUUGUGCUCCUAAAUGUUGUACCCCAAUAAAAUAUUCCUACAGAUGAUUAUUCACGAUAAUUAAAUUGCAACUAGAAUCAAAUUCGUUAAAUCUAAAUUCUAAAAUAACUAAAACAACAUCGUAGAUAAGUCUAGAUAUCAUGAAGGAUUAAACAAGGAAAGAAUAAGAAAAGCUUACAUUGACUGUGCGUUGAAUAAACUUUGCUCUCUUUUUGGGUCUCUGUGGCAGCUUAGACCCUUUAAUGGCCAUGAAAUCUUCCUCUUUCUCUUUGUUGGUUAAAGCAAUCACAAAUUUCGGGGGCCACACGGGUGGCGCCGCCUCGCCACUAGCGGAAGAGGAUCCACCUUUCUUGCUAUCAUGAGCUGUUUCCGAUGAUGCCCCUGAUUUGUUAUAAUCAUUGUUGUGGUGGUUGUGAUUGUUGUGACGGGUACCUCUCUUAUCGUGCGCACCCCUAUCUGGUGAAGCAAAACCUCUCACACCACCGUUGCUUUGGCCUCUCAUGGCACUUGAAUUCUCAGAGUUCCUAACAAACAAUACACACAUAACAACACAUCAAUUAACUGGACAUAACAUGUGAAAUAAAAAUGAAAUUUAAUACAGUCAAGUAGAGUGUUAAGGAAAAAGUAAAAAAAGUGAUGUGCUGAAGUGAAUUUUUAUGUAAGUACGAAAAUAACCUUGGGAGUGAUCAAGUAAAGUCGGGCUAAAUUUGAGAAGAAAGUCAUAUACGGUGAGUUCUUUUUUCUUUUGGCUUCUUUGGAGAGACUUUGGAUUGCGCUUUUUAAACAAAUAGGAAGUGUUGAUAUUUGCUAACUUGGCUGCCAUGAGAAAAAUAGUUUUGAUUCUAAUCUCCAUCUAACGAGCACAGCUGGUCCUAUGGGCGGUUUGUAGGCCGUUGGAUUCAUUUUCCUUUUCUAAGGUAUGGGCUACGUGUUGAUGGAUGGGUUGGCAUGUAGGAUAGAGUGGACCAGAUUCCUAAUACAAUUACAAUCGACGGCGGAAAUUUUGUUGAGAUUAGACUUGGGCAUCAUUGGACGCGUGGCAGGAACUUGCUAAUUCCAUGUUUCCUAGUUCCAAGUUCCAACGAGUCCACCAUGUGAGGACGCUUUGGCAGCGUUAUGGGCUAAAAUCAGGCGUGAUGAACUCAAGACAAGUUGGCUACCCUCUAGGCAAAUGCAAAAGGUCAAGAGUAGCACAAUUGAGUAAGAAGAGUAGUUUGAUUAGGAAUGCUAAUCAACCUAAUCUUCUUUUGCACAACUUUGAACAAAAUCAGUCCAAUAAGAUUGCAAUAUAGAAAAAGAAAAGAAUAAAACAUAAAUUGUGAGACUUAACUAUCUUCAAAUCAUCACUUUUCAAAAUCUCAAAUUACCCUCAUUUUUAUUCAAAAAAUAAAGGAAAAAUGUGAGUUGAUCAGUUUAUUUUUAUCUUCUGCAAAAGAAGCAAUUUGAGAUUUUAAAAAAUAAAAAAAUGAUCUAAAGAAUGUCAAUUUAUAACGAGAACAAUAAAAAUAUAACCCCAUAUAAAACUACAAUUAGCAGCCGCAGAUCAGUCAAAUAACAAAGCAAAGAUUACAGCCAAUUUCCCAAUUAAGAAUGUAAAUCAGUAAAUGUAAUAUUGGGAGAAUGCACCAUCUAAAACUUCACCAAUUAUAUGCUAAAGUCUAGAAACUAAUCAAAUUUAUAAAUAAAUGAAACUAUCCCCAAAUCUCAAGUGCAUUAUCUAUAGAUCACACACUUCAAACGCGACUAUUAGAUUCUAAGGAUCGUGAAAUGACAUGGGCAAGCCACUUUAGCAAGACUCAAAUCCUAGAAACUAAAGCAAUAGUAAAUAUAAGGACACCCUGACCUUAUGAACUCACCAUCAGGCAUCAGCUCUCCUGAGUUCUGAUUUGCACCAACCUGACCAAUUAGUGAAUGGACAAGUAUAAGCCUCAUAAGUAAGUACUCAGCCCCAAUUUUGGAAGUUUAAAAGUUCAUCUUGUAAUGAACAAGUAGAUCCAACUAACCUCCACUUCAGCAAAAGCAAAAUAAUUUGAUGCUGAAAUGUUAUUAGGCAUCAAGAUUCAGACGCCAGCUUAGUAUUCAUAUGAUAUUAUCUAUUCCUGGAACAGUCCACUCCACUACCAGAAAUAGACAAAUGUAUCAAACCAUAGUACAAUACCAAGGGACAUACUAUCCCAGACUAUGAACUAAUUAUUUCCAAUUUUAUAAAACAAGCAUAAAGGCUGCAAUUGGAAUUUAAAAUAUAAUAAUAAUAUCAGCAGAAAUGCAGAAUGACUCCGGGCUUACUGAUAUUACACAAACUAAUUAUGUCGACAGUGACCGUGUACCAACAGCGACUAAUGACUAAAGGUGAUCCAAAUUCAUGCUAUUACUGAAAAGGGCAACUAUCUUUCUUCAACAUUAAUUUAACAUAAACACCAAUUCAAUUGAAGAAGAAAAUAUAAUUCACCACGGUAAAACAUAUUUCUUGCGGCAGAAAACCAUUAAUUAAAGAUAAAGGGUAAAAAGGGACCCAUCAAAGAGAGCAGAUCGAAAUCUUUUUCCGCGCCAAUGUGGAUUAUAGAAAUCGAACAAUAAAGGAGCUAACACUAAACUGCGAACACGGACACAAAGCGCGUCACGGGCCCACGCGCAACCCAUUCAAUUAUCUAAACGUCAUACACACAACACUACAGUUGCCUCGCAAACACCAGCGAAGGUUCAGGCUCAGGCCCUCAGCGCGAACAACCCCACAGCUAAAAACAAGAUCCACCAUCUCAGCCGACAGUGUUUAAUACGCGCCGUAAGAAUAAGCAUACAAAUCUCUGUUUUUAUUCAAACAUAAAAUCAAACAAACGAUGAUACAGAGUUAUUACCUGAGCACACGCUGAGGUGGCGGUGGCGGUGGCGGAGGCGAAGAUGGCCGUCGACGGAGAUUAAAAUAACCGUUACCAAUAUUAUGGUUAGCGGUGGCAGUACUCGGCUGAUUGGACGUGUCUUUGUCGGUUCUUACGACUCGAACCGUCGUCCGAUGGGCCGAAGCGGACGAAUCGUCUUUGACUUGAACUUUCAUGCACCGGAGUCGCUUCCUGUUCCCCCACUGUAAGAUGAAAUCAGACGACGCCGUUUGCCUAGUGUUGAUCUCUGAGCUAGCUCUUAAUAAUCCCCCAUCUUUGCAAGUGCUCCCAUUAUUACCGCUUCUCAACAAGUCCUUAUCCAUCUCCUUUCGCAAACCUGUCCCAUUCAGAUAAGUUAAUUACAAUUACUCAUCCUAAAUUACGGUUAACUUGCAGAAUUAUACUAAAAAAGAAAAACAAAAUGAACAAUUUGGAUACGGCUUCGGCUUUCCGGCAACUUCCACGCCAUUUAAAACGAAUGAUUAAAAUUAAAAUUUUAGAGUAACGGCUAAGAAUUUUCCCAAAUUUUGAGAAGAAAAGUAGGCUUACCAUAAGAAUCACAUAUAUUAAAAUGCAACAAAAAUAUUGAAUACUGAGGAAGACCGAAGACUGGAAGAGGAAGAUCCGACAGCCAAGGAUUUUUCAAAAUGAAAAAAUGCAGAAUUCUCUACCGAGUGAUGCUGUAAUAGUCAUCAGCAGUGAAAAUGAGAAUUUUAAUUCAAAAAUAGAUCACAGACGUACUCACUCCAGAGGAUCUGACGAAGAAUACGCAUAGAAAACGGAGAAAAAAUUUCUCAAGCUCCAUGCUUUUGCUCGGCUGCCGAGAAAAUGUUCGAAAAAGAAAAUAAAGAAGGAUCGUGAAUUGCAACAAUCAGAACCAAUUCGUUGGUUCUAGAGAUCAAUUCGAGAAUGGAAAGAAGUUCUGAGAUGUUAUUUUUCUCUCUGCUUUCUUUCUCAGUAACCAAACGUAGGUAAUUUGAGAAAAAUCUGAGAAGCAGCCACAGCUAAAACUCAAAAUAAGACGAGACUGACAAAAAUUUUAAAGCUCGAAUAAGACGAGACUGAGAGAUGGUCAAAAGAACAAAAAUCAAAACGAAAAAAUAUUUCAUCAAUAACAAGUCAAGAUUUUCAUGGAACUGAAAUUUCUUGUAGACGCUAAUGAUGAAUUCUCGCCAGAGCCAAACAGCUGAAAAAACGAGAAUCGGAGUCGAACUUAAGUAUAAGCUUCGUAAUAAGAAGCAAGUGGAAACCGAUUCAAAACUGAAAUGAAAGAGAACCGGUCCCGAGUUAAAUCGACGAGAUGAAAAUCGAUAUGCUUGUUUUUUAUACCUCCAAUAUCUCAAAUUCGCCGAUAUUUUGCUUCUUUCAGUCGGCAGAAUACAAAUCGAAUGUAUAUCAGCUUCUCAACGAAAUGAUUGGCAUUUCAAAGACUUGAAAAUCUCCUGCUCUAAUGAGAGAUUAUGAUCUUCCCCUUACAGAAAUUUCUCUAUUCUCUUAAGAAAUGUAUCUGCAAAACAAAUAAAAUGAUUAUAUCAGAGGAUGAAUUAUACGGAAUUAACACUAAGCCAACUGAACCAUGUCGUCUUUUGUCAUUUUGAAUUUGUCUGUAAACUAAAGCAUGAACCAAACAACAAUUAUACCGGCCAAUUUUUUUAAAUUGAUCUUCUUAAUAAUGAAAAACAAAAGUGUGUUGGUAAUACACACCUCUAAAUCUCCUCUAUCUCUCUAUCGGAUUCAGAUUCUCAACAUUCCGUUAUCAUAUUCUCGUCAAUUCUCAGCCAAAGUAGUCUGUUUGGCUUCUGAGAAAACGAAAGAAAGUGAAUGAAAAUUCGCAGAGAAACCAGAGAGAGAACAAACAACACAAAGUGCUCUCCUUCCUUCUUCUGAUAAACGAAAUUCUCUCUCCCUUUUAAAACCAGUUUUAUACCCCUCUUUCAUACUCUCGGUUCCACACCGAGCAUUCGUGACCAUCAAUCAUCAAUCAAACGGUCCUGAUUACUCCUCCUUUGAACCGUCGACACCCGUCUAUCAUCAAGUUAGCAUGCGCCCGUGGCAAAUUUUUAUCACCUCACGGACUUCAUCAAUCUAACGGAAUCUUUAACGACGUUGAAUUUUUGUUGAAUUAUAUCAUUAUUUAUUCUGAUAUGUUUUCUAUUAUUUUAUUGUUGCAAUUUUUUUUUUUUUAACGCCGGUGUGGUGGCGCUUAUGAUUAGAGAGUAUUGAGUUACAUUCAAUAAGGUUAGUUAAUCACGUGACUGAUCAAACCACGGUUAUUUUUUUAUUAUUAGUUUAUUGUUGAAUUUUUUUUUUUCAAGCCGGUGUGGGGGCGCUCAUUAUUAGAGCAUCGCAGUAACAGUAGGGUUAGUUAAUCACGUGAGUGAACUAACCAUGGUUUAAUUUUAACCAGACCUGUGAAUCUAACGAUAGGUAUAAGGGCAAUUUUGGUAUUUUAUCGCGAUAAAUAACAUUUAAACAACAAUAAUAAAAUGACCUGCACGUGUUCUAAUGUUCUCUUACCUUAUUUUAUUUUUAAUGACGCAGUCAUUAUUCACGGUGGACAUUUAUAAUAAUUUUGUCAUCUUUCUAAUGCUAAGGUCAUUUUUAUAGGUAAUAUAGUUGCUUUAAUUUUUAAUGGUCAUUUUUGGUGGUAUAUACAUUUUUAUUAAUCGGACCAUUUUAGUGAUAUGAUCUCAAAGUUGCUUUCGAUUUUUUAAUGUGUUCGAUUAAAAUGGAGUAAUGAUACAUCUAUAAAUUUUUAUAUUAAUUUUGUAACAUAGUUGGUUGAAUGAAACCAACACAUUGUCCACAUAAUUUAUCUUUAUUAUAUUAUAUCUUCACUCAAUCAAUGAUAUUAUACCAUAUCAAUUUGUAUAAAAAUUACUUAUAUAACAAUUUAUAACUCUAUUAUUAUUCUUUAAAGUUACAUUUUAGGGUCUGUAAUUUUUUAUUUUCUUGGUAAUGAUCCCUUGGUAAUAUUGGUCAAUCACUCUUCUCCUUAAUAUUAAAGUGGAGAGUUUGAGUAUUCUCAUGUAGUUGUGAGAGUAUAAUAUGUUUGGACUUUUAUUGUAUUAAAAAAAAUUUCCUUCAAUUAAAAAAAAAUUGUUUUCCUCAAAAAUUGAAAGGGGUGCAUGCAUCUUUCAACGAGACAUUUUUUUAUAAAAUCCCUUAACAAAUACACAAACUUUGCAAAUUAAUUGCGUAUAAGAUCGAAGUUAAAAAAUAAAUAACUACAUAAAAUUGUUUAAUGUUACAAAUGCAAAUAUACUUCUUGUCUUUGAUCUUAUUAUGUUAAUUUAUAUUUUAACACUUUAUUAUGCAGCAACGGCCCGACUAUCUAAUAUAAAGGGCAAAUAACCUUAUAUUCAUAGUAUUUGUACUGAGCUAUUCUGGAUAGUUAUGAGAAGCAUCUACUGUUAUUGAAGCAAGAUUUCAAGAUUGGCCAUGUUUCUAAAGAGUAUGUUUCUAAUUGGAAAAUGUAUGUUUCUAAAGAGUGUAAUACUGCGUUUAGACUUGAUUUUUCUUUCCUUCAAUUAAAAAAGAAAAAAAAAUUGUUUUCCUCAAAAAGUGAAAGGGAAACAUACAUUUUCCAAUUAAAUAUUUUUAUAAAAUCCUUCAAGGUCUUAACAAGUACACAAACUUUAGCAAAUAAAAUUGUUUAAUAGUACAAAUGCAUAUAUAGUUCUUGUCUUUGAUCUUAUUAUGUUAAUUCAUAUUUUUUAACAUUUUAUUAUGCAUCAAAGGCUUCACUAUCUAGUAACAAGGACAAAUAACCUCGUAUUCAUUGUAUUUGUAUUAAGCUAUUUUGAAUAAUUAUAAGAAGUAUCUACUGUUAAUUUAGUAAGAUUUCAAGAUUGACCAUGUUUCUAAAAAUUAUAAUAGAGCAGCUGAUGCUUUGGUUAAAAAUCACAUUUAGGUAUUAUUAUUAUCUUAUACAGGUGAAGAUUUUCUACAACAUUUAACUUGUUUAUUUUGAAAUUUUGUCUUGCAAUAAUGAGAAUCUAUUUGGGGGGAAAAAAAACACCUUGUAUUUAACUUGUAUUUUUUUUUCAUUUUUGGAUGAGCUGUUAGAUUUGAAACAAUCUAAUUUAACGAGCAUGGAUGAAAAGAGUAAAUACAUUAUUGAAGGGGGUUACGGUCUUAGUCGGUCAAUCAUAUAUCUUUAUUAUUAUUAUUAGAGUUAUUAUCAUUUCACUGUUUCAAAAAUUACCAAAUAUCAAAUGACUACAACAAGUGUUGUCUUCUAUCAUCUUUCUAUUAUAUUUUUAUAAAAAUAUCAUUUUACUACUUUUUCAUUACAACCGUUAGUUGACCCGUUAGUUGACUAACAAAAUAUCAAUUUUACCCUUCAUGAUUAAAAAAAUAAUAAGAUAAAUUUUUAAUCCAUAUAUCAUAAUUCCAGUUAAAAUAAUUAUGUUGGUGUUUUAUAUCCAUUUUAAUAAAUAUAUUACAAAUUUAUUUUGUAAAUAAGCUUCAAGUAUUUUUUUUUUAAUCAUGAAGAGUGAAAUUAGUAUUUUGUUUGUUAAGGUUAUAACGGAAAAGUAGUAAAAUGAUAUUUUUAUAAAUAUAUAGUAAGAAAAUAAUAAGAGAUAAUACUUGUUGUAGUUAUUUGAUAUUUGAUAAUUUUUAAAGUAAUAAAAUAAUAAUAACCCUUAUUAUUAUUAUUAUUAUUAUUAUUAUUAUUAUUAUUGGAGCAUAGGAUCAUAGAUCUUAAAGUCUGCAACGUUUGUUGCAAGGCUCUGCGAUAUCAAUAGAUAAAAUGCUUGAUUCGUAAGUCUUUUUUUUUUUUUUUUUUUCUGCUUACAGUACUGCAGAAGUAGUUUCCUCAACUGUUCUGGCUGUCUCUCUUAACCUCACGGUGUUUCCUUGCCAAUUUGCUCUUUUAUUUACGGUCGAUUCUGUCACUUUCUCCAUUAACUAGCAUCACGUGGCAAUUUUUGGGCCUUUGGAUUUGUGCGCUUCAAAUUCAACGGCUUUGACGUGGCCUAUGCAACAAUGCCUAAAAUAAUGUCGGUGUGUGGUCAAUUUGUCACCUUCUCAAGUCCAUGCAGUAUGUACAAGAGCUGACCACUUGACGGAAAAUAAAGAGAUUGUUCAUUCAUUUGUUAUGGCCAUCUAAGUAAUUUCCUUGAAAGCCAAUUAGGCAAUAAUUUUUUUUAAUGAGCGUUCAAAAUAAUUUUAAAGGGUAAAAAUAUAAAUAUAUUUAUAAAGUUAAAAUAUAAAAUUUGAUUUUGAAUUAAUAUGAUAGUAAAUACAAAUCCACUAUUCAGAUAAUAAUUGAUAAGAAUUAAUAAGGAAAAUUGUCAAUUUUCUUACACUGAAAUCAAUAUCUAUCACUUACUCCCUAUUAUUUUCAUAAUACCUAAUAACUCACUGGUACCAUAAUUUUACAAUAUAAUCCUUAUUUUCAAGUACACUUUAUUGAUUUAACUAUAAACUGAAUAAAUCAUAUAAAUUGAAAAUAGAAUAAAAGAUUUAAAUACUAAAAAUAACAAAUAUAAGUUUCAGUAUGAAUAAAAAAUUAAUAAUAAGAUAUUUUUUUAUACUUUUUGUUAAUUUUAAAAAAAAAAUUCUAACAACCAUUAUUUAAUAUUUUAAGAUAAAAUAUCAAAUAAAUAACUCAUUUAUAUCUAUUUUCGCUUAAAUGUUUGUGCUCACAUAUCUUUGAAUACUAUAAAUAUAGUUGAAAACAAGUUAUAUCUAUUGAUUUAAAUAAGCAGAAAACUGCCAAACUCCGAGUUAAUAAUCCAUUAUCAAAUGACCUCACGAAAUAAAAUCAUAUCAUCUACCACAUCAUCAAUUUGAAUGCAAACUUUAUAUUGCCCCCAUGUAAGCUUAUUACUUAUUAUAAUUGUUUAUAAUAACUCUACAAGCUCAUGAAUGAUAAAAAGUCAUAUGUAAUGAAUAAAGUUGAGAUUUUGAAAGUUCAAAGCAUCAAAUUUUAUUCCUAAAGCCUAAGUGAUCAUUUGCUUAAUCAAUAACACCAUGUAUCGCGCAUGUUUUUUUAUUUAUUAAACUUAAAAAUAACAUUUUCUCUAAAAUUAUUAAUACGUACUAAUAUUUACAUCAUAUAUUGGAUAUCUGCUCUACUCAAUACUCACCAUUUAAUAGAAUAGAAGCUUAUUUUUACUCAAUUUUUAAUUGGGAAUAGAAGUCUUUUCUGGUGACUUAAAUUACAGCUCUUAGACAUUUGUUCUGCAUUUAAUUAACAGGAGAGAUUCUAAUAUAUACCCAAUUUUUAAACCCAAUUUUUAAUUAGAAGAAGAAAUAGAAAUCUGCUAUAAGAACUUAAAUCGCAGCUCUCACAAUGGUAACUUGUGAGAGUUGCAGUUUACCACUCAACUAUUUUAACAGAGUGCGCUGCUUCGGCCUUGGCCGAAGUGGUGGGCUGCUACCCUCACAACACAAUGCUUGUGAGGGCAGCGGUUCUAGCCCCCACAAAGCUUUUGUGGGGGCUAAAUGUUCUUUAUAUUUAAAAAAUCUUUCUCCCUUGCGAAAUGCAAGUGGAGUAUGGACAUCCCUUUCAUGUGAGGGGUUAUUUGUCUGGGCAUGUACUUCAUAGAAUUCAUUGUAAUAAUGUAAGUCUCAAUCAUAUAUAUAUCUGAUUGUAAAUAUCAGUGUAAUAUCUCUGCUACAAUAAGCAGUUGUUGUAAAUAUCUGUGUAAUGCAAUAAUCUGAUGAUUAAUCAGUAUUAAAAAAAAAAAACAGAGUGCUUUGAAAAUACCAUAUGAUAUAUCUAACACAAACAACUUUAUAUAAUACACGCUGUCAUACAUGUUAUGACAUGCGUGGCAAGCUCCCAUUAUAGGAAGCUCAGCUGUAGCUCGAAAGCCCCUAAUAAGAACUCAUCAUUAACAUAAUAGCCAAUCGCACACUAUAAUAACGUACGCGAGGGCGUGCACAAGAUCAGCUUGCUCUAAAAUUGUUCAUAACAACAAUACUUUAUGAGAUAACAAUCACAUAAAAAGACAAGCCAAAACAAAACAAAACAAGACCGACACGAAAGUAAUGUCGGUGUUCCGAUUACUUAGACCUCUCUAUAUUACAAUUUAUGGAUUAUGUAAUUCUGUAUUAAAGGGGAAAAUAAAGGAAAAAAAAUAAAAGAAAAGGUCUAUGUAGUACUAUCUAAAGGUCUGUAUCAACCACCAAUGGCCUUUGGUUCAAUGAGAGAAGUCUUAUACUUAUAAUAUCGAGUGUAACGAUUCGAGCCUCCACAAGAGUAUUAUGGAAGUUAUUUUCAGUUUUUUCUUAAUUAUUAAUUAAUUGAGUGUAGACAAUUUCUCCCUUACAAAAUAUGAGUGGAGUAGGCAUCCCUCGAAUAUUAGAGAGUGUUUAAAGUAUUUAAACAAAUGCUUCAAUAAAUUAAUGUAUGGUGGUGAUCUCAGUUGUUUAAUAUAAUUAUAAAUAUUAUAAUUAUAAUGUUAAUAUCAAUAACCAUAUCUGUAUAACAUAAUUAAAAAAAAAAGGGUCGAUAUCAAUCAAUGGGAUGAUAUUUAUUUAAUCGAGAUAAAAACGGAUUCAAAAAGUUUAGGUCAAAGACAUAAACAUCCUUCAUAUCUAAGAUUUCAUUGGCCUCGAAUGGAGGACAUUAUUGUCAAAUCAAAUUGUCCCUACAAGCACUAAUCGAUCAGGUUAGGGUUUCGCUCUUUCUCUGAAUUGCCGAAACGAAGAAUCACCGAGUUAAGGGGAAAGAAGAUAACACUAAAUCAAUCAGAUAUCACGUUUCAUAUCAACCGAUUAAUCACUGGUGCGUUUUGUUUUCUUUCCAAUUGUUCUAUUCUCGUGCUUUUAUUUGUGAGAUUUUUUUUUCUCCGAUCGAAAUAUCACAUGCAUCGGGAUCUUGAAAUUCAAGAUCUAUAAAUUCAUUUUUGCUGAAGAUUGAGAAUUGUUUUGUAUUUUCGUUAGAUGUAUAACGGAAUCGGCUUACAGACCCCGAGGGGGUCCGGAACCAACGGAUACAUACAAACGAACAAGUUUUUUGUGAAGGCCAAAACAGGUCGGGUUACCGACAGCGUCAAGGGAUUCGAAGCGGGUCAGGGAACGGCUGGAGUCACCAGAAAACCGAACCAGGAGAUCCUCGAGCAUGAGCGUAAGCGCCAGAUUCAACUCAAAUUGGUGGUGCUCGAAGACAAACUCGUUGAUCAGGGUUACACUGAGGCUGAAAUUGCCGAGAAGCUUGAGGAGGCUCGGAAGACUCUUGAAGUCGCCUCAGCUUCAGCGGAAAGUGGUGGGCCUGCCGCUGAUGCAAAGUAAGUAAUUCUUGCUAUGAAUAAUAAGAUACAUACAAAUUUUCAUUCUUGAGGUGACAUGAUAUGAUUGGAACAGUGAAAAAUAACAAGUACAGUUCAAGUACUCAUACCACUUCAGUUUGUAGAGAUGUCUUUUUGUAGACAUUUUUUCAUGUGUGUAACUUUUAAGCGUGUCAGUUUUAUUUAUUUUCACUGCUAUAAUAUUAUGAAUGGUUAGUUUUCUUGUGCGUUGUUUUAUAUGUGUGAUAAAGCAAUUGGUAUGUUUUUAGUAUGUGCUGCUUGUGUUUGAAGUUUGAAGCAUGUAUAAUUAGGGAACCUGCAAUUUUGCCUCUCCUUUCGGCUGCAAGGGGAUUGUUGAAUCACUUCCUUGAUGGCUUUGUUCUGGAGGCAUAUAUGUAAUUCAGAAUGGGAUUCAUUAAAGGGGAAUUAAUUUUUUUCUAAUUUCCCUUACUCUUGUUUCUUGGAAAUUCCUUCGUCUUUGUAAUAGUUGUUCCAUUUUCAGCUUUAUUUUACACUUGAGAUUUCUGUUACCCGAGUUAUUUUACUUGAUUAAUCAUGUCUUCUCAGUAGGAAAUUUUUGUAUAGGUUACCUAGGAAUUAACUUCUAAUUUUCUCCUUGCUUGUUCAGGGUAUCAGAAACAGAGACCCAUAAAAUUGCUGCUAGAAAGGAGAAACAAAUGGAAAUGUUUAGAGCUGCACUUGGUAUAGGUA